Molecule: ribosomal RNA, 156 nt
Filed under: Triticum aestivum (bread wheat)
Lineage: Eukaryota; Viridiplantae; Streptophyta; Magnoliopsida; Poales; Poaceae
Description: partial small subunit ribosomal RNA
Source: RNAcentral
CGCUUACGAGUACGAGAAUUGAAAGACAUGAAAAUUCUCAAUUCUCUACGGCGUCUAGUAGAUAGAAACAAGAAAAUCAGAAGAAUCUUUCUCUCUAUUCACUAUCAUUCCGCGUCUUCGACUUCUAUUAGUUUCUUAUCUUCUUUAAUGCAAUAG